UGGGGAAUUUUGGACAAUGGGCGAAAGCCUGAUCCAGCCAUGCCGCGUGAGUGAAGAAGGCCUUCGGGUUGUAAAGCUCUUUUAGUCGGAAAGAAAGAGUUGCAAUGAAUAAUUGUGAUUUAUGACGGUACCGACAGGAAAAGCACCGGCUAACUACGUGCCAGCAGCCGCGGUAAUACGUAGGGUGCGAGCGUUAAUCGGAAUUACUGGGCGUAAAGGGUGCGCAGGCGGUCUUGCAAGUCAGAUGUGAAAGCCCCGGGCUUAACCUGGGAAUUGCGUUUGAAACUACAAGGCUAGAGUGCAGCAGAGAGGAGUGGAAUUCCAUGUGUAGCAGUGAAAUGCGUAGAGAUGUGGAAGAACACCGAUGGCGAAGGCAGCUCCCUGGGUUGACACUGACGCUCAUGCACGAAAGCGUGGGGAGCAAACA
Molecule: ribosomal RNA, 427 nt
Filed under: uncultured beta proteobacterium
Lineage: Bacteria; Pseudomonadati; Pseudomonadota; Betaproteobacteria
Description: bacterial SSU rRNA
Rfam family: Bacterial small subunit ribosomal RNA
Source: RNAcentral